CGUUGUUUAUUGGAUCUCCAUUCUCUACUUGGAUAACUGUGGUAAUUCUAGAGCUAAUACAUGCGACCAAGGCCUGAACUUACGUGAUGGCUGCAUUUAUUAGAACAAGACCAACCGGCUUCGGCCGUUCUCUGGUGACUCUGAAUAACUGAGUGAAUCACAUGGUCUAGCACCGGUGAUGUAUCUUUCAAGUGUCUGCCUUAUCAACUUUCGAUGGUAGUCUAUGUGCCUACCAUGGUUGUAACGGGUAACGGAGAAUAAGGGUUUGACUCCGGAGAGGGAGCCUGAGAAACGGCUACCACUUCUAAGGAAGGCAGCAGGCGCGCAAAUUACCCAUUCUCGGCACGAGGAGGUAGUGACGAAAAAUACCAAGCUGGGAUCCAUUGGGUUCCGGCAUUGGAAUGAGAACAAUAUAAAUCUUUUAACGAGGAUCUAGUGGAGGGCAAGUCUGGUGCCAGCAGCCGCGGUAAUUCCAGCUCCGCAAGUGUAUAUCUAUGUUGCUGCGGUUAAAAAGCUCGUAGUUGGAUCUGCGUGUUUAGCGUCCGGUUCAACUUUUGGUUGUUACUGGAACGCGACACAGAUGUGCUGGUUUGGUGUUGAUGCUCUUAACCGGGUGUCAGCGCCGGCUAGCGAGUUUACUUUGAAAAAAUUAGAGUGCUCAAAACAGGCGUUUCGCCUGAAUAUUUCUGCAUGAAAUAAUAGAAUAGGACUUCGAUUCUAUUCUGUUGGUUUUCGGAAUGCGAAGUAAUGAUUAAGAGGGACAGACGGGGGCAUUCGUACUGCGACGUUAGAGGUGAAAUUCUUGGAUCGUCGCAAGACGUACUACUGCGAAGGCAUUUGCCAAGAAUGUUUUCAUUAAUCAAGAACGAAAGUUAUGGGUUCGAA
This 885-nucleotide ribosomal RNA is filed under the name Nematoda environmental sample. Its description in RNAcentral is "SSU rRNA". It matches the Rfam family "Eukaryotic small subunit ribosomal RNA", at positions 111 to 1002 of the family's 1831-position model. The record is from RNAcentral. Lineage: Eukaryota; Metazoa; Nematoda.